AUUCUAGGAGGCAGGUGCUCAUGUGUCCUCUUCCAGGCUUGGAAAAUACAGGGAGGAGGACAUGGUGGCAACUGUCACCAUGAUU
This 85-nucleotide microRNA precursor is filed under the name Myotis brandtii (Brandt's bat). RNAcentral describes it as "mir-764 microRNA precursor family". It matches the Rfam family "mir-764 microRNA precursor family". The record is from Rfam by way of RNAcentral. Lineage: Eukaryota; Metazoa; Chordata; Mammalia; Chiroptera; Vespertilionidae.